Long non-coding RNA from Hyaena hyaena (striped hyena), 605 nucleotides. RefSeq lists it as uncharacterized. NCBI's taxonomy places the organism in Eukaryota, Metazoa, Chordata, Mammalia, Carnivora, Hyaenidae. The transcript is spliced from 4 exons. The record is from RefSeq and is a predicted model, not a curated record.
CUGAACGGUAUGGUGUUUAGUCAUGGCAGUCUGAGCAGACCGUUAAAACUAGAGAAUCAUCCAAACUGCAAAAGCCAAAAGGAAAUUCUAGAGGAUGAAUAAUAAUUUCCUGAGUGAAACAAGGGAAGAGUGAGCCUCAACAACUCUGAAAUGAUGAAAUAUGCUAUCUCAAUGAUGCCCGUUGAGUUCAAGGACACAGCGCUGGGCAUCAGACCAGGCACACCUUAUGGGUGCCGUCCUCAUGGGUCUUGUAAGCCCCAGGAUAUGCCACCCCUCCCCUUUGAGGUCCCCUUUAAGAAGCGUGCUGACCCCCAAGGCCCAGCACAUGGCAUCAACCCCUGUGUGGCUGGCGGAAGGAAGGAAGGCCACGAGCUGCGCACACCUAGCAGGUGGAAAAAACUGGCAUGGAAAAACAACGGAAACCCAGGAACAAGGAGGAGCAGUGUGGCUGACCCCCUCCCUGCAGGGGGAGGUGGGGGAUGGCACGGAGCCGCAGCGGCGCCCCCAGGACUGUGUCGGGGGUGGCGAUGCUGGGUGUGAACUGCCAUUAGAAUACCCAUUACUAUGAUACUUUCCCAUCAGCAUAAAAUCCGCCGUUUGAACCA